CUGAUUGGGUAUUACAGCGCUUCACAUAAGACGAUGAAAUGGUACAGGACAUUUUUUUACCAUUUUUUGGACAUUGCUAUUGUGAACGCUCACAUAUUGUACCAGCAGUGUCAGAGGGGAUCGAUGACUCAGAAGGAGUUUCGUCACGCCCUCAUCGAGGAGCUUGCGGACCUAGGAACACCAUCCACAUCCAGGCCAUCCACCUCACAGGUCGCUGCACCCCCAAACCCAGCAGCAUCCCACAAGCCGCAUUACUUGGAUGAACAGGAUGAGGCUAAGCGGGACUCUGCGGGCAGGGCCGGCAGACGGCUCUGCAAGCUGUGUCACAGAAAGACACCAGUCGGGUGUUCGACGUGUGGCGUUCCCUUGUGUUUUGUUGCCACAAGGGACUGUUAUAAUGAGUGGCACACUCAUUAUAACAUUAUAACAAGGGAUGUAGAAUGGCCCAAAGUGUCCUGACAGCGCACUGUACUGAUUUUGUACGGUACUUUCUUGUCAUAUUUUCUUAUCAUAUUUUUUGUAUAUAGUUCACUCAUUUUUCAUAUUUUGUUAUUGGCACAAGUAGUAAUAGUAUAUUGCAGAAUAAUAAAAUCCUUGUUUG
Molecule: long non-coding RNA, 601 nt
Organism: Gadus macrocephalus (Pacific cod)
Lineage: Eukaryota; Metazoa; Chordata; Actinopteri; Gadiformes; Gadidae
Exons: 2
Source: RefSeq, a predicted model, not a curated record